Molecule: ribosomal RNA, 253 nt
Filed under: uncultured bacterium
Lineage: Bacteria
Description: partial 16S ribosomal RNA
Rfam family: Bacterial small subunit ribosomal RNA
Source: RNAcentral
UACGGAGGGUGCGAGCGUUGUCCGGAAUCACUGGGCGUAAAGGGCGCGUAGGCGGCGCGACAAGGCGGCGGUGAAAGUCCGGGGCUCAACCCCGGAUCGGCCGUGGCGACUGUCGCGCUCGAGCACAGUAGAGGCGGGUGGAAUUCCGGGUGUAGCGGUGGAAUGCGUAGAUAUCGGGAGGAACAUCAGUGGCGAAGGCGGCCUUCUGGUCCAGUACUGACACUCAAGUGCGAAAGCGUGGGGAGCAAACAGG